UAGGGAAUCUUCGGCAAUGGACGAAAGUCUGACCGAGCAACGCCGCGUGAGUGAAGAAGGUUUUCGGAUCGUAAAACUCUGUUGUUAGAGAAGAACAAGGACGUUAGUAACUGAACGUCCCCUGACGGUAUCUAACCAGAAAGCCACGGCUAACUACGUGCCAGCAGCCGCGGUAAUACGUAGGUGGCAAGCGUUGUCCGGAUUUAUUGGGCGUAAAGCGAGCGCAGGCGGUUUCUUAAGUCUGAUGUGAAAGCCCCCGGCUCAACCGGGGAGGGUCAUUGGAAACUGGGAGACUUGAGUGCAGAAGAGGAGAGUGGAAUUCCAUGUGUAGCGGUGAAAUACGUAGAUAUAUGGAGGAACACCAGUGGCGAAGGCGGCUCUCUGGUCUGUAACUGACGCUGAGGCUCGAAAGCGUGGGGAGCAAACAGG
This 429-nucleotide ribosomal RNA is filed under the name Chloroflexota bacterium. RNAcentral describes it as "Chloroflexi bacterium partial 16S ribosomal RNA". It matches the Rfam family "Bacterial small subunit ribosomal RNA", at positions 355 to 776 of the family's 1533-position model. Lineage: Bacteria; Bacillati; Chloroflexota. RNAcentral also lists the same sequence under 1 other name. The record is from RNAcentral.